Molecule: RNA transcript, 6939 nt
Organism: Monomorium pharaonis (pharaoh ant)
Lineage: Eukaryota; Metazoa; Arthropoda; Insecta; Hymenoptera; Formicidae
Gene name: neuroblastoma-amplified sequence
Exons: 19
Source: RefSeq, a predicted model, not a curated record
ACAUUUUGCAGAUUCUUCUCGUUCAACACUAGUACAGAUUUUAACAGUCUUAUUCUCGCUGACAACGACGGUUAUACGCAGCGUAUUUUGAAAUCUGCCUGUGCAUUAACACCGGAGAGAAAGAAAGAGGGGGAGAGAGAGAGAGAGAGAGGAGAGACUUUAAAGCCAAUAUUGCAUGUGACGUACUACAAGUUUGUCGAACGUUCUGAUUGGUUAUCACUUAUAUGAAUGGGGCAGCUUCUGUCAAGAAUUUACUACUUAGGCCUGUUCUUUUUCGCUGCACUGUGCACUGGUGCAAUAAGUUAGAAUAAAAAAAAAUAUAUUUGUCUUACUCUACCCUGUUGCAUCAGUGCAGCAGUGUAGCGAAAAAGAACAAGCCACUUCUUGUCAAAAAAAGUCAAGGGCAAAAACAAAUAUUUUUUGACAGUCUCUCUCUCGAUACACACAUUUUGUUCACAUCGAGGCGCUACUGGCGCUUAGCGCUAGUAGUCAGUUCCUGUUUGUUUACGUCCUUGUGACUGUGUUGGGCUAUGUGUGUUUCGUGAUGACAAGAUGAGCAACGUGGACGAAAUGUCAAACGAGCCAAUACUAUACGAACUAUUGGAAUAUUUCGUUCGCAAACAAGAACCGGAAUUGAUCAAAUGCAAGAACGAUGCAGUUAUUCUCCCAACUACUGGAACAAUAAAAAAUGCUCUUAGGUACCUUAACAACAGGUACUCCCUACCUGAGAGCAUCUCGCAGCAAGUCAGUCUCACACUGCCAUGGAAAUUUGCUGUCGGAGAUCAUGGUCGGGUACUUGCUAUCUUACAGGAGAAUAUUAUUGAGAUACGAAAGGCCAAAGAUGAAUAUUCCUCCAUAGUGGGAAAAGCAUCAGCUCCAAAGGAUGCUUUUCCUCAGUGGCGUAAACUUGUCUGGAGUCCCGAUGGAAUGAUUUUGGUAUUGGCGUCCAGUAAUGGCUACACCUCUUUUUACAACGCGCUGGGAAAUAAUAUCUUUAACAUAAAUCCAAAAACGAUUUCACAAAGCCCUCAUAUUCUUGAAGCUGGUGAUGCUAUAGCAUCCAUGUUGUUUCUCAAGCCAAGGUUGACAAGUGAGAAAUGGGCCUAUGAGUUUAUUUUAAUUUCGUACAGUGGAUUGCUCAGGUCUUAUCAUAUUUCUACAAGUGGUUUCAGUCCAAAUUACGACUUUUCUUUUGGUAAUUUUUACAAAAACGGUAUUAAUGUUGUCGCCUAUGAUGAAAAACAUAGUUUAUUUUAUGUUGCUGGAAAUAUGAUAACACAAAAAUUAACGUCCACUGCAUCUGAAUCUGGAUUAACUUCGUGGCGACUUUUGAAUGAUUACCCAUAUUGCAAAUUAUCAUUUACAUUUGAAGAGUCUGCUACCAGUAAUUCGCGGUUUUCUAUGUGGAAUUUAAUUCCUAUAUUUAGCUUUCAAUCAGAAUCGAUUAUAUUUUCUAUAAAAAUUUCACCAAAUGGCGAGUUUCUGGUAUGCUUGCAUACAGAUGGUACAGUCUCGCUGUGGGGUUUGCCAAAUUUAAUAUUACAAAAAAAAUGGAAAUUGUCUGAACAGCCUGAAUAUAAUAUACCUAAUCCUUUGGGACUUACAAAAUCUAAAAAAUUUCCACCAGGUUUUACAGAAUUUCAUCCGAUAGAUAUUGGUUGGUGGUCUGAUCAGGCUGUCAUAAUAGCUCGAUCUUCAGGCUCCACUUCAGUUUGUUCAACAUGGAACUUGAAGAAUUUACUAGGUGCUAGUCCAGAAUUUUUAGCAGGACAACCACAAAUAUGCGAGCUUGGUUUAGAGAAAGGAUUUUUAUGUUUAGACUGUGAAACCUUUGUUACAAGUAAAAAACGAAGUAGAGAAUCUAAUGAUGGUCAUUUGUCAGAAGCGUCGUCUGAAAGCGAGAAGGACGACGAUGAAUUGGAACCUGUUACUAUAUUAAGUUAUACUACAAAUUUGGUACAAAGCACAUUGUAUUCAAUAACUGACAUCGAAAGAUUUCAACCAAAGAGAAAAAAAUCAAAAGUAUUGCAUCGAACUUAUAGAAUUUUGGGUUUAAAAAGUACGACUCCAGAAGAGCUGUAUUCUAGAAAGAUAGGCAUUGAGGAAUACGAGGAAGCUUUAUCUUUAGCAAACACAUAUAAUUUGGAUACAGACCUUGUGUAUCAAACACAGUGGAGGAAGUCAGAAUUAUCCUUAAAUGCCAUUACGGAACAUUUAAGUAAGAUAAGCAAAAGAUCUUGGGUUUUGAAUGAAUGCGUUGUACGCGUCCCUGACACUAUGGAAGCUGCAAGGGAACUAUUAAAUUUUGGAUUGAGAGGCGCAAACUUAGAAACUUUAAUAGCUAUCGAUAUUUGCGACAAUGAUAAAUUUGUAACUGCCGAUACAGAUGACGAUUGGCAAGCAUUAGAUCAACUCAGUGUAAGUUUAAGACAGGUGCAGAAAGUUAAUGAAAUGCUUGAAAAAAUUGAUAUAAAAAAUUUAUCUGAGGCUCAGAAAGAUUUAAUUAAGUAUCGGAGAAAGCUUCUAAAUCAUUUAGAUAAAUUGCUCACAUAUGAAAUUAUAUUAGAAUCACCACUCAAAUAUAAAAAAGAAUUUUACGAGGAGUUCCGAAGUCUAUCACCUAUUGAAAAUGCAAUCAAAUUUGCUAAAGAUAGUGAUUACAGAGCUGUUGAAAUUAUGUUUACCUACUAUGGAGAAAGUUUGUUGCCUCAUUGGUUGGCAAUUAUCAGUUUCUUUCCAGAAACAUUGAAUACAUUGGAUUACCAAAAACUGCUACCAGAAUGUGAUUCAGAAGAUCAUUUAUUUUUAUUGGAUCAACGUGAAUUACGACAAAAAGAUUGGUCAGAAAAACAUGAGUUUAAUGAAAUAUUAAAUCUCGAUUUAAACGAUCAAUCAGAAAUAUUGUACGAAAUGGAUCCCUCAUUGUCAAUAUAUAGAAAUACCGAACUAACACCAGAUUUAUUACAAAAAUGGUAUAAGACACGUGCUUAUGAAAUUGAAAAGAAUAGCUCUUUAAUAGACAAUGCUUUGCAAUUAGUUAAAAUUGGAAAGUCUCACAAUAUUAAUGGCCUAGAAAACUUGUUAUUGGAAUUAGAAACUUUAGAUGAUCUUGUGUAUACAGUACGUUUGGAAGAUAUAUCAUUAGAUAAAUUAGAGAAAUUGAGUAAUAUGGAGAAGAUAAAACUUUUGAUGAGUACAUCAAAUGAAAUGAAUUUUGUUGAAAACAUAAAAAACCUUUUAUUGCCUUUUAUUAAACGAAGACAUCAAUAUUUGGGUGGAGAGCUUCAGAAAUGCUUACUAACCGAUUAUCUAAUUUCCUUAAGCAAAGACGACUUAACAUUUCCGGUUAAAUUUUUUGAAUAUUUAAAACAGACGCAGGACAUAGAAAUAAUUGAAUUAAUAGAUAAUGUUGCCACUUUAGCUUUAGAUUGUAUAUAUGCCUGUGAUGAUCUUGACAUGUAUGAAAAAGCUAAAGAUAUCUUAGAUUCAUUAUCGAAAAAUCAUGAUGGAAAAAGACCAAAUGCAAUAUGUAACUUAUUAAAUGAGUCUGAAGGAGAACUUGAUUGUGUUAGACUUUUAAAUAAAUAUGGUGUAAAAACAACGUUGAAAUUUAUACGAAAGAACAGAAACGAUCCUGAUGUCGCUAGAUCGCUCUUAACCGAAACGGCAAGAAAUUUUAAUAAAAGUUUGAUACCUCCAGAUGAAAGGGAAUGGGCGCAAUUAUUAAACGAUCUAUUAGACAUACAUGGACUAAUUUUUUCGUAUAUGGGUGUUGAAACCUGUUUCGAAAUAUGUGUUUCAGCUCGUUUACUUUCAAGAAUUAAAUGCAUCAUCCGUAAUUGUGCCACCUUAAUAGAAACUAAGAAAAACGAGAAAUCUUUGUUAAAAGUAUCUUAUAACAAAGCAGUUGAUCUUAUAUUAGAAGCGUCUAAGGAGUAUUUUAAUGGUUCAAGAACACUUACUGAUCCACAUAUGGAAUUGGCUAAAACUUGCCUUGAUCUUAUCGAAGAUGAUAACGUAAAAAUUAAAGAAGAAUAUGAUCUUAUUAAAUCACUUCAAAUAUUGAAUGAAUUUCAUGUUGAUAUAUUACCACUUCAAGUUAGAUUAACAGUAGAUAGAUUAUCCUUAAUCGAACACUGUUUAAAUAAUCAAAAAGAUGCUUAUAAAAAUCGACAAAGAUUGUUGACGUUAGCAAGUUAUUUACGAAUUGAGGGAAAUAACAGUAGACUGCGUGAGGGAAAAAUUUUGGAACUAAUAGCUAAAAAGGCACUUGAGACUGAAGACUAUAAUAUCUGUGCCAUGAUAUGUAUGCAGUUGGCGGAAAAUAAUUAUCUUUCUGCUUGGGAAAUUUGUUUAAAUUUGGGAUGUUGUGAUAGUUAUCAGGAUUUUAAAAUUAGGCAAAAGUGUCUAUGGUUUGCAAUAAAUAAUGGGCCCAAUGAUAUAUUGAGUAAUGCUUUAGAACAUACCCAUUUGUUAAAAAUACAAAUGCUACAUAAGGAUUUGGAAUUGUGGAUGCCUUCUGCAGAAUUUGAAAGUUUGAAAAAUGAAGAAAGUGAUACGAGUGAAGAUGAUUUUACAGAUGCUAUGACAACGCCACAGAUGGAAGUAAAAGAGUUUGUUCCAAAAAUGUUAGAAACUUCGACAGGAAUUGUAAAAAGUUCAGCUAAUAUCAUGAAGGAAUCUACAUUUAGCUUAAUAAAAAAUAUUAGUAAUACCAAUUUUUGGAAAUCUAGACUAAACCUUAACUUUAAAAAUGAUUUAGAAACUAGUGCGGAACAUGAAUCUGAGAUGAAACAAAAUGAAGACAAUACCUACUUUCAAAGUUUUCCAUGCUAUUAUGAAUCCUUACACGGACUAUGUAGGAUAAGUGUUAACGAGACGAGAUACAAUAAAUAUGCUAUUACAGACAUAGAAAAUACAAAAUUAAAAUGUUGCCGGGCACUCUUGAGAAUAACUAUACUCAGUGAAUCCUCUUGUUAUGGACUAGAAAUAAGCGAUAUUAAUCAUUUGCUCUUAGAAUGUGCAAAGCACACUAUAUCAGAUGAUUGGUUACUUGGUAUGGCUUAUCUAUUGAGUUUAAGUAGAGAUCACAUCUUGGAUGCUCAAGCAAUCUUUGUGGAUUUACCACAAACUGAAUUGUAUAUACAAACCGCGCUUUAUUAUUAUUCAUUAGAAUUGUAUAAGAAAUUGUACACUGAUUGUGAAAAGUUGUAUUUAUAUAAUCCAUUAGAUUUAAUGAAAAUCAUGAUGGCUGCAGCACGAAAAUCUGAAGAAUGUGAUAUUGUUCAAGCGUUACAAUAUUGGCAAAGUUAUCUACUCGGCGGGGCACAAAUUAAAAAUAUAAAUCAAGUGGAAGUAAAAGAUAUAAGUACAUUAGAUCUAGAACACAGUACUGUUCGUGUGCAUUCUGUAAAGACUACAAACAAAGAUCAAGAAUCUGCAAAAUGUGUCGAUGUUAAUGAUAUCCUAUCAUCAAAUUCUAAGGCAAAUAAAGAUCUAAAAAUUGCUAUCUCUGGUAAUAUUGAUGCCGUAGAAUGGACAGAUGAUUGGGGUGAUUUUUCUGAUGAUAGCAUGGAAGCAAAUGGCGAUAAAAGGGGUAAAAAUAAAUCCGAAAGAAUUUUACAAGAAAAAACCGUUUUUCCUCUCGAUCAUACCGUUACUGAGUGUACGAUGGAGGAAGAUCGAUUUAAAUUAUUUCAGAAACGAUUUAAUCAAAUAAAAAAUUUAGAGCAAUAUCAGGAAGUAAAAAGAAUAAUAUCGCAAUGGCCGAAAUUUAAUAUGCCAGAUCAUAUCACGAUAGAUAAUCAUCCAGUUUUAAAAAUGAUGAAAGUGAUAGUUGCACUCGCAAAGACGAAUACAGCUGACUUUGAAAAAAGGAUAUUACAAGAACAUGAAGAUCUCAUUAGAUUAUUAACGUCUGAAAAGAUCCUCAAACAAUUCUUGGAGUUCGAACAAGAUCAUAUUAGCUUUGUACAAAGCCUACACAUUCGAUUAUGCUCCCAAGACGUGUCAAUGCAUGAAGAGGCAGUAAAACUCAUUAAAGAAAAACAGGCUAUUGUACUACCACCAUUGGUACUGGAGAAACUUUUCUUAAAUAAUUUAACAGCGUUUUUCAGGCCAGAUCAUGUUGUAUACAAACAGAUAAUUGACCAUGUCUUUAUAAAUGAAUCCUUAACCGGCAUUGAAGAGAAUGCAAAAACACUCAUACAUGAAUUAAAAAAACAGAAAUAUAUACUGGAGGCUUUGCAUAUUAUAAAAUUAAUGGAAAAAAUACCGUCGGUCUUGUGCACAUUUGAUACUUGUUUUCAGCUAUUAAUGCAGGACUGAAUUUAUCUUGAAUGUAAAAAAAAGCUCUUAUGCAUGUUGUAUAUAUAAAGGAAAGUUACAGAUAAGAGCGGCGGAUUUAGUCCUACCAGUGUUUUCAAGAGCAACCGGGCUCCCCUGCUAGGUUCAAUGAAUCUCGGAGGUAAUAAGUGGGCCCAUCAACGUUAUCUCCGUUGAUUUUAUCAGCCUUGAUAAGACUGAGUCAUUUCAGUCACCGUGAUACGCUGUAUCGUACUGCAUCGUGUUGUAUCCCCAAUUACCAUCAAUGUAAAUAAUCAUUGCGCGUCUGAACCCUCCAGUUGCGCUAAAUGUCAACGAUGAUUGAGCGUGAACUACGCUUGCUGCGCACACGAUCGCUCGCCUAGCUCGGCAAACUGCUUCGUGCCCGUCUGAGAACUUAGUUGGCCGCUUCCUUCGGUCGAAUAAACACGUCCUUCAAUCGGGUGAGUCGAUAUAUUUGCAUAUAUGUUCGUGACCGCGAAUAUCCACUUGUUCUAUCUGUGUUACAACGAUACACAUUCUUGUUUAAGAUACUUAACAUUUUUUAUUAUUGCCUUUAAUUACAUAUGAAACAAUUUCAUACGAACAAAUUACAUAUGAAAAAAAACAAAAAAA